AAAUUGAAGAGUUUGAUCAUGGCUCAGAUUGAACGCUGGCGGCAGGCCUAACACAUGCAAGUCGAACGGUAACAGGAAGCAGCUUGCUGCUUCGCUGACGAGUGGCGGACGGGUGAGUAAUGUCUGGGAAACUGCCUGAUGGAGGGGGAUAACUACUGGAAACGGUGGCUAAUACCGCAUAACGUCGCAAGACCAAAGAGGGGGACCUUCGGGCCUCUUGCCAUCAGAUGUGCCCAGAUGGGAUUAGCUAGUUGGUGAGGUAACGGCUCACCAAGGCGACGAUCCCUAGCUGGUCUGAGAGGAUGACCAGCCACACUGGAACUGAGACACGGUCCAGACUCCUACGGGAGGCAGCAGUGGGGAAUAUUGCACAAUGGGCGCAAGCCUGAUGCAGCCAUGC
RNAcentral lists this ribosomal RNA (400 nucleotides) under Salmonella enterica subsp. enterica serovar Thompson. RNAcentral's name for it is "bacterial SSU rRNA". It matches the Rfam family "Bacterial small subunit ribosomal RNA", at positions 1 to 397 of the family's 1533-position model. Lineage: Bacteria; Pseudomonadati; Pseudomonadota; Gammaproteobacteria; Enterobacterales; Enterobacteriaceae. RNAcentral also lists the same sequence under 2 other names. The record is from RNAcentral.